RNAcentral lists this ribosomal RNA (305 nucleotides) under uncultured bacterium. RNAcentral describes it as "bacterial SSU rRNA". It matches the Rfam family "Bacterial small subunit ribosomal RNA", at positions 336 to 658 of the family's 1533-position model. The record is from RNAcentral.
UUCCUACGGGAGGCAGCAGUAAGGGAUAUUGGUCAAUGGGGGAAACCCUGAACCAGCAACGCCGCGUGAGGGAAGACGGUUUUGGGAUUGUAAACCUCUGUCCUCUGUGAAGAUGAUGACGGUACCUGUAGAAUAAGCUCCGGCUAACUACGUGCCAGCAGCCGCGGUAAUACGUAGGGAGCAAGCGUUAUCCGGAUUUAUUGGGUGUAAAGGGUGCGUAGACGGGAAAUUAAGUUAGUUGUGAAAUCCCUCGGCUUAACUGAGGAACUGCAACUAAAACUGAUUUUCUUGAGUGUUGGAGAGGA